UACUGCCUGGUAGUGGGGGACGAACGUUUCGAAGAACGCUAAUACCGCAUACGUCCUACGGGAGAAAGCAGGGACCUUCGGGCCUUGCGCUAUCAGAUGAGCCUAGGUCGGAUUAGCUAGUUGGUGAGGUAAUGGCUCACCAAGGCGACGAUCCGUAACUGGUCUGAGAGGAUGAUCAGUCACACUGGAACUGAGACACGGUCCAGACUCCUACGGGAGGCAGCAGGC
This 228-nucleotide ribosomal RNA is filed under the name uncultured Pseudomonas sp. RNAcentral's name for it is "partial 16S ribosomal RNA". It matches the Rfam family "Bacterial small subunit ribosomal RNA", at positions 124 to 354 of the family's 1533-position model. Lineage: Bacteria; Pseudomonadati; Pseudomonadota; Gammaproteobacteria; Pseudomonadales; Pseudomonadaceae. The record is from RNAcentral.